CACACACAGUUGAUACAUGCACACACACAAUUCACACACAUACACACACUUGAUACACCCCAAUUCACACAGACAUGCACACACUUGAUACACACACUUUCACACAUCCCCACACACAUGCACACACUUGAUACACACAUUCACAUUCUCAGACAUGCACACACAUGCACACACUUGAUACACACACUCACACAUUCUCACAGACAUGCACACACAUGCACGCACUUGAUACACACAUUCACACGUCCCCACACACAUGCACACACUUGAUACACAUUCACACACACAUGCACACACUUGAUACAUACAUUCAUACAUUCUCACACACGCACACACUGGAUACAUACCCAUGCACAUUCAUACACAUGUACACAUGCACACACUUGAUGCACACACACCUAUGCAUAUUCACACACUCACACAUAUACAUGCACACACAACACACACACCCAUGCACAUUCACACACACAGUACACACCUCAUACACAUGCACAUGACAUACAUUCACACACUCAGGCAUACACACAUACUCUUUCACACUUCUCAACACAAAACAUACCCAUUGACACACACUCUUGCACCCACACUCAGGCACACACACAUUCAUUCCCACCCAUCUACACACACGCGCUCAUACACUUCCUGCACCGAGCAGCGCUCACCCCCUGGGAACAGAGCAGGUUUGGGGUGGAGGUGGGCUGCUGUCCUGAUU
Molecule: long non-coding RNA, 712 nt
Filed under: Pan troglodytes (chimpanzee)
Lineage: Eukaryota; Metazoa; Chordata; Mammalia; Primates; Hominidae
Description: long non-coding RNA NONPTRT008343
Source: RNAcentral